AGCGAACGCUGGCGGCAGGCUUAACACAUGCAAGUCGAACGCAUCCUUCGGGGUGAGUGGCAGACGGGUGAGUAACACGUGGGAACGUACCCUUCGAUCUGGGAUAACUUCGGGAAACUGGAGCUAAUACCGGAUACGCCCUUUUGGGGAAAGGUUUACUGUCGAAGGAUCGGCCCGCGUCUGAUUAGCUAGUUGGUGGGGUAACGGCCUACCAAGGCGACGAUCAGUAGCUGGUCUGAGAGGAUGAUCAGCCACACUGGGACUGAGACACGGCCCAGACUCCUACGGGAGGCAGCAGUGGGGAAUAUUGGACAAUGGGCGCAAGACUGAUCCAGCCAUGCCGCGUGAGUGAUGAAGGCCUUAGGGUUGUAAAGCUCUUUUGUCCGGGACGAUAAUGACGGUACCGGAAGAAUAAGCCCCGGCUAACUUCGUG
RNAcentral lists this ribosomal RNA (433 nucleotides) under uncultured bacterium. RNAcentral's name for it is "partial 16S ribosomal RNA". It matches the Rfam family "Bacterial small subunit ribosomal RNA", at positions 29 to 507 of the family's 1533-position model. The record is from RNAcentral.